GGUACAGAUUUUAAAUUACAAGCUUGAUUUGAUACCCUCAAAUACAGUUCUUAAGGAAGAUUAGUUACAAAUAGUUGUCAGUACUUUCAAAUGACAGAAAAAAUUACAUUUUAGUAAAACUGGAUGAAUUUUUCAUGUGUGAAAUAACAAUCCUUUCACCACCAGGUGGAAUUACUCCAGUUCAUGCAAUAGAUAACUAUGACAUUUUUAAAAACUGCCCUAAUUUUUCUAGUUGCGAUUUCAUGCCUAUUGUAAGUCAAACAGUAUUAUAAGUGAAAAUGAAACAUCAAUUUAAAAUGAACAAGUGUAAAAACACGCGGAACUGAAAUUAUAGAAAAUCAAAACACUAAAUACACAGUAAUUAAAUAUCUAGCACUGGAAUCACCAAAUGCAUGCGCAGUAACACACUUUCAACUGAUAUAAAAAGCCCUUUAAGAUUCACAUAAUCUAAAUAAAUAAGCAGAAACACAAAGGGAGGUACUGUGCCAGCCAGUAACAACUAGAAAGUAAGUUCUCCCUUUUUCUUUCAAAUGAUCCUAACAGAAGACAGGAAAUAAAGAUCACUUGUUAAAAACUAUAAUUCAUGUUUGGUUUUUCUUUGUUGUUUUUUUUUUAAUGCUGCCCGAUAAAGUCAAAGCAAGGCUUCCUAAAUGUUAGACCACUACACCUCAGAUAAGGAAAGGCCACCUAACGGACAGAUUUAAACAAAAAUCAGACAUUUGUCUAUGGAAGGUAUGAUUGAAUUUUUGCGUAAUGACCCCGCAAUAGGAUCUAAAUCAAGCCCACAACAAGAAUGCACAUUCAAGCAUCUGAAUGCAUGAUCUGUUAAUACUGAAUUCUAUAUGGUGAUUUCACUCAGCAAAGUACUGGUUUAUUCUAUAUAAGACCAGGAUUAAAACACCUACAGUGGGAACUGUAUCUUACUUAAGUUUGCAUUCUGGUUCUCAGAAUCUCAGAACAUAAUAGGUGUAAGCGUUUGCCAAACUGAGUCCAGCAUUCAUGAUUUCAGGAAGCUUUGCAUCCGUGACAAAA
Molecule: long non-coding RNA, 1032 nt
Filed under: Homo sapiens (human)
Lineage: Eukaryota; Metazoa; Chordata; Mammalia; Primates; Hominidae
Description: non-protein coding lnc-TFB2M-1:1
Source: RNAcentral